AUUGAACGCUGGCGGCAGGCCUAACACAUGCAAGUCGAGCGGAUGAAGGGAGCUUGCUCCCGGAUUCAGCGGCGGACGGGUGAGUAAUGCCUAGGAAUCUGCCUGGUAGUGGGGGAUAACGUCGGGAAACGGGCGCUAAUACCGCAUACGUCCUGAGGGAGAAAGUGGGGGAUCUUCGGACCUCACGCUAUCAGAUGAGCCUAGGUCGGAUGAGCUAGUUGGUGGGGUAAAGGCCUACCAAGGCGACGAUCCGUAACUGGUCUGAGAGGAUGAUCAGUCACACUGGAACUAAGACACGGUCCAGGCUCGUACGGGAGGCAGCAGUGGGGAAUAUUGUACACUGGGCGAAAGCCUGAUCCAGCCACGCCGCGUGUGUGAAGAAGGUCUUCGGAUUGUAAAGCAAUUUAAGUUGGGAGGAAGGGCAGUAAGUUAAUACCUUGCUGUUUUGACGUUACCAACAGAACAAGCACCGGAUAACUUCGU
RNAcentral lists this ribosomal RNA (483 nucleotides) under uncultured bacterium. RNAcentral describes it as "partial 16S ribosomal RNA". It matches the Rfam family "Bacterial small subunit ribosomal RNA", at positions 30 to 506 of the family's 1533-position model. The record is from RNAcentral.